This 69-nucleotide transfer RNA is filed under the name Canthigaster rivulata (brown-lined puffer). Its description in RNAcentral is "tRNA-Ala". It matches the Rfam family "tRNA". Rfam says of the family: Transfer RNA (tRNA) molecules are approximately 80 nucleotides in length. Their secondary structure includes four short double-helical elements and three loops (D, anti-codon, and T loops). Further hydrogen bonds mediate the characteristic L-shaped molecular structure. tRNAs have two regions of fundamental functional importance: the anti-codon, which is responsible for specific mRNA codon recognition, and the 3' end, to which the tRNAs corresponding amino acid is attached (by aminoacyl-tRNA synthetases). tRNAs cope with the degeneracy of the genetic code in two manners: having more than one tRNA (with a specific anti-codon) for a particular amino acid; and 'wobble' base-pairing, i.e. permitting non-standard base-pairing at the 3rd anti-codon position. RNAcentral also lists the same sequence under 8 other names. Lineage: Eukaryota; Metazoa; Chordata; Actinopteri; Tetraodontiformes; Tetraodontidae. The record is from RNAcentral.
AAGGCUUUAGCUUAAUUAAAGUGUCUGUUUUGCAUACAGGAGAUGUGGGGUAGUGUCCUGCAAGUCUUA